GACGAACGCUGGCGGCGUGCCUAAUACAUGCAAGUCGAACGCAUUUUCUUUCACCGUAGCUUGCUACACCGAAAGAAAAUGAGUGGCGAACGGGUGAGUAACACGUGGGUAACCUGCCCAUCAGCGGGGGAUAACACUUGGAAACAGGUGCUAAUACCGCAUAAUUCCAUUUACCGCAUGGUAGAUGGAUGAAAGGCGCUUUUGCGUCACUGAUGGAUGGACCCGCGGUGCAUUAGCUAGUUGGUGGGGUAACGGCCUACCAAGGCUGCGAUGCAUAGCCGACCUGAGAGGGUGAUCGGCCACACUGGGACUGAGACACGGCCCAGACUCCUACGGGAGGCAGCAGUAGGGAAUCUUCGGCAAUGGACACAAGUCUGACCGAGCAACGCCGCGUGAGUGAAGAAGGUUUUCGGAUCGUAAAACUCGGUUGUUAGAGAAGAACAAGGAUGAGAGUGGAAAGUUCAUCCCUUGACGGUAGCUAACCAGAAAGCCACGGCUAACUACGUG
Molecule: ribosomal RNA, 507 nt
Filed under: uncultured bacterium
Lineage: Bacteria
Description: partial 16S ribosomal RNA
Rfam family: Bacterial small subunit ribosomal RNA
Source: RNAcentral